UACGUAGGGGGCAAGCGUUAUCCGGAUUUACUGGGUGUAAAGGGAGCGUAGACGGCGCGGCAAGUCUGAAGUGAAAGGCAGGGGCUUAACCCCUGAACUGCUUUGGAAACUGCCAUGCUAGAGUGCUGGAGAGGUAAGUGGAAUUCCUAGUGUAGCGGUGAAAUGCGUAGAUAUUAGGAGGAACACCAGUGGCGAAGGCGGCUCUCUGGUCUGUAACUGACGCUGAGGCUCGAAAGCAUGGGUAGCGAACAGG
This 253-nucleotide ribosomal RNA is filed under the name uncultured Eubacteriales bacterium. RNAcentral describes it as "uncultured Clostridiales bacterium partial 16S ribosomal RNA". It matches the Rfam family "Bacterial small subunit ribosomal RNA", at positions 524 to 776 of the family's 1533-position model. The record is from RNAcentral. Lineage: Bacteria; Bacillati; Bacillota; Clostridia; Eubacteriales.